CAUAAUGCCUCUUUCCAAUUGCCUGAUAACCUGAAUGACUGUAUCCUUACCAGCUCUCUCGGAUCUGGUGAUCCGGUAAUGGUGUUGAACCCCUUCGGGAUGUCCGAUAUUCCUCAAAAUGGUAAUCGCUCCCCCAUCAACCCUUCCACUGAUCUGUUAUCUGCUCCACUGUGAGAAUUGAAUCCCUUAGCAAGGAUAUUUCCUCCCCGUACACCUUUACCUCUUAUGACUUCUCGACAGUUGGAUUUCACCGUGCCAAAACUGUGAAUAUUUACUAUUACUAUUUUAAUACCUCGGAGCCUCCAUUAUCUGAUUCUAACACCACUGGCAUCUCUACAUCUGCGGACACCCCUAGACCUCAUAAGCGUCUACGCCCGGUGACUGAAGAAAGCACUUCUAUGGAGAACCUCUGUAAUCUCAUCUCUAAUGCUGUCCACAACUCUGAGAACACCCAAGCCACUUUGAGAACCCUUUGGGAGCACUUUAAGGAGAAGGAGGCUUUUUCUAUUAACAAGGCUCCAUUGAAUGACCCACACACUGGCGAAGGGAUCCCUGACGGUGACUCGCGCCAUGGGAGAGAGAGGACAAGUCCAUCGCAGAACUGGUGGUUUUAUAGGUUACCUGCUUGGAGAUCAAGAGCCGGGCCCCACUGUGGAGUUUCUCUCUAAUGACUGGUGGGUCCUUGAUAAGUUUGAGUACGGUGCUGAUUGCAUGUGCGAGGAUUAUGCUGCAUUACAACAGUGACUCCUGAGUGAUUCUUUUUUAUUAUUUUGAUGUACUCCCUUUUGAUGACUUGAUACUUAAAUAAGGCCUAAAUGUAUAUAACUUUUAUAACUCAAUUGGGUAUCAAAUAUUUAGGAAACAAAUAUUUAUUAU
Long non-coding RNA from Macadamia integrifolia, 876 nucleotides. RefSeq lists it as uncharacterized. The record is from RefSeq and is a predicted model, not a curated record. The transcript has 2 exons. NCBI's taxonomy places the organism in Eukaryota, Viridiplantae, Streptophyta, Magnoliopsida, Proteales, Proteaceae.